Molecule: ribosomal RNA, 497 nt
Filed under: uncultured bacterium
Lineage: Bacteria
Description: partial 16S ribosomal RNA
Rfam family: Bacterial small subunit ribosomal RNA
Source: RNAcentral
GAUGAACGCUGGCGGCGUGCCUAAUACAUGCAAGUCGAGCGAACAGAUGAGGAGCUUGCUCCUCUGACGUUAGCGGCGGACGGGUGAGUAACACGUGGAUAACCUACCUAUAAGACUGGGAUAACUUCGGGAAACCGGAGCUAAUACCGGAUAAUAUAUUGAACCGCAUGGUUCAAUAGUGAAAGACGGUUUUGCUGUCACUUAUAGAUGGAUCCGCGCCGCAUUAGCUAGUUGGUAAGGUAACGGCUUACCAAGGCAACGAUGCGUAGCCGACCUUAGAGGGUGAUAGGCCACACUGGAACUGAGACACGGUCCAGACUCCUACGGGAGGCAGCAGUAGGGAAUCUUCCGCAAUGGGCGAAAGCCUGACGGAGAAACGCCGCGUGAGUGAUGAAGGUCUUCGGAUCGUAAAACUCUGUUAUUAGGGAAGAACAAAUGUGUAAGUAACUAUGCACGUCUUGACGGUACCUAAUCAGAAAGCCACGGCUAACUACGUG